CCUACGGGUGGCUGCAGUGGGGAAUAUUGGACAAUGGGGGCAACCCUGAUCCAGCCAUGCCGCGUGUGUGAAGAAGGCCCUCGGGUUGUAAAGCACUUUCAGUGAGGAAGAACGCCUGGUGGUUAAUACCCAUCAGGAAAGACAUCACUCACAGAAGAAGCACCGGCUAACUCCGUGCCAGCAGCCGCGGUAAUACGGAGGGUGCGAGCGUUAAUCGGAAUUACUGGGCGUAAAGCGCGCGUAGGUGGCUUGAUAAGCCGGUUGUGAAAGCCCCGGGCUCAACCUGGGAACGGCAUCCGGAACUGUCAAGCUAGAGUGCAGGAGAGGAAGGUAGAAUUGCCGGUGUAGCGGUGAAAUGCGUAGAGAUCGGGUGGAAUACCAGUGGCGAAGGCGGCCUUCUGGACUGACACUGACACUGAGGUGCGAAAGCGUGGGUAGCAAACAGGAUUAGAUACCCGGGUAGUC
This 465-nucleotide ribosomal RNA is filed under the name Vreelandella stevensii. Its description in RNAcentral is "partial 16S ribosomal RNA". It matches the Rfam family "Bacterial small subunit ribosomal RNA", at positions 338 to 795 of the family's 1533-position model. The record is from RNAcentral. Lineage: Bacteria; Pseudomonadati; Pseudomonadota; Gammaproteobacteria; Oceanospirillales; Halomonadaceae.